AAAUUGAAGAGUUUGAUCAUGGCUCAGAUUGAACGCUGGCGGCAGGCCUAACACAUGCAAGUCGAACGGUAACAGGAAGCAGCUUGCUGCUUUGCUGACGAGUGGCGGACGGGUGAGUAAUGUCUGGGAAACUGCCUGAUGGAGGGGGGAUAACUACUGGAAACGGUGGCUAAUACCGCAUAACGUCGCAAGACCAAAGAGGGGGACCUUCGGGCCUCUUGCCAUCAGAUGUGCCCAGAUGGGAUUAGCUUGUUGGUGAGGUAACGGCUCACCAAGGCGACGAUCCCUAGCUGGUCUGAGAGGAUGACCAGCCACACUGGAACUGAGACACGGUCCAGACUCCUACGGGAGGCAGCAGUGGGGAAUAUUGCACAAUGGGCGCAAGCCUGAUGCAGCCAUGCCGCGUGUAUGAAGAAGGCCUUCGGGUUGUAAAGUACUUUCAGCGGGGAGGAAGGUGUUGUGGUUAAUAACCGCAGCAAUUGACGUUACCCGCAGAAGAAGCACCGGCUAACUCCGUGCCAGCAGCCGCGGUAAUACGGAGGGUGCAAGCGUUAAUCGGAAUUACUGGGCGUAAAGCGCACGCAGGCGGUCUGUCAAGUCGGAUGUGAAAUCCCCGGGCUCAACCUGGGAACUGCAUUCGAAACUGGCAGGCUUGAGUCUUGUAGAGGGGGGUAGAAUUCCAGGUGUAGCGGUGAAAUGCGUAGAGAUCUGGAGGAAUACCGGUGGCGAAGGCGGCCCCCCUGGACAAAGACUGACGCUCAGGUGCGAAAGCGUGGGGAGCAAACAGGAUUAGAUACCCUGGUAGUCCACGCCGUAAACGAUGUCUACUUGGAGGUUGUGCCCUUGAGGCGUGGCUUCCGGAGCUAACGCGUUAAGUAGACCGCCUGGGGAGUACGGCCGCAAGGUUAAAACUCAAAUGAAUUGACGGGGGCCCGCACAAGCGGUGGAGCAUGUGGUUUAAUUCGAUGCAACGCGAAGAACCUUACCUGGUCUUGACAUCCACAGAAGAAUCCAGAGAUGGAUUUGUGCCUUCGGGAACUGUGAGACAGGUGCUGCAUGGCUGUCGUCAGCUCGUGUUGUGAAAUGUUGGGUUAAGUCCCGCAACGAGCGCAACCCUUAUCCUUUGUUGCCAGCGGUCCGGCCGGGAACUCAAAGGAGACUGCCAGUGAUAAACUGGAGGAAGGUGGGGAUGACGUCAAGUCAUCAUGGCCCUUACGACCAGGGCUACACACGUGCUACAAUGGCGCAUACAAAGAGAAGCGACCUCGCGAGAGCAAGCGGACCUCAUAAAGUGCGUCGUAGUCCGGAUUGGAGUCUGCAACUCGACUCCAUGAAGUCGGAAUCGCUAGUAAUCGUGGAUCAGAAUGCCACGGUGAAUACGUUCCCGGGCCUUGUACACACCGCCCGUCACACCAUGGGAGUGGGUUGCAAAAGAAGUAGGUAGCUUAACCUUCGGGAGGGCGCUUACCACUUUGUGAUUCAUGACUGGGGUGAAGUCGUAACAAGGUAACCGUAGGGGAACCUGCGGUUGGAUCACCUCCUUA
RNAcentral lists this ribosomal RNA (1544 nucleotides) under Salmonella enterica subsp. enterica serovar Infantis. Its description in RNAcentral is "bacterial SSU rRNA". It matches the Rfam family "Bacterial small subunit ribosomal RNA". The record is from RNAcentral. Lineage: Bacteria; Pseudomonadati; Pseudomonadota; Gammaproteobacteria; Enterobacterales; Enterobacteriaceae.